Molecule: RNA transcript, 2182 nt
Organism: Psammomys obesus (fat sand rat)
Lineage: Eukaryota; Metazoa; Chordata; Mammalia; Rodentia; Muridae
Gene: Rinl
Gene name: Ras and Rab interactor like
Exons: 13
Source: RefSeq, a predicted model, not a curated record
UCUGCUGCUCAGGCUUUCCUCGGAACAGAGGUCAGAGCAUGGCUCCCUGGUGCCCGGCAGCAUGCGGAUAGCCCAGCCAGACAUGGUCUCUGCAGCCCCUACUUCGGGGGACAGGCUGGCUCGACUUUUAGAUGGAGCAGGCGAGAGCCCACUAGGGGUCCUCAGCAGCCCAGAACCGCUUCUUCGACUGCAGAGGACGCAGAGGGUGUGGCGGGUCCCAGAGCUGGAUGUUCAGCGCGCCAAGGUCUUUCUGCAGCUGUGGCCGCUGGGGAGCUUCCUGGUCGUAGGACACGGUCCUAGCCAGGUCUUGAUGCUGAAGGCGGGACCCUCGUCAGCAGACAUCAACACCUAUCCGAUUCGGAAGGUUCCAGGAGGUGUAGCCCUGGAAUCCUCCAACCUCUUCAUGCCAGACCUUCCCCACCUCCUGGCCUUUCUGGCAGCCAGCAGGGACGUUUUGCCAAGGACACUGCUCUUACCCACUCCAGCUGUAGGACCUGGAGACGCGCAAUCAGAUCCUCUGCGACUUGGCUGCGUCCAGGUGGACACCUCAGGGAGGGUGCUGUCUGUAGUGAACCAGCUCUACCUGGAGACCCACGGAAGCUGGGGAGCAGAGCAGCCGCCACAGCAAACGGAGCCACAGACUCAGCAGAUACACAGUCUAGCCCCCAGGAAUCCCACCCCACACCGGGUCUCCUGGGUGGAAGAGCCACCGAAACCGGAAGUUCACCCUACUGGACAGGAAGUGCAUCAUCCUGACCUCCAGGAGCGCCAUCCUGGAGCCCAAGUGAGCUUUCUUAGGCCUGCUCUAGCUCGUGUGGUGGAAGGGGAGGAGGAAGUGAGCAAUGAAAACUACAGAGAUGAAGAGGAAGGCCGCGAGGAUUUGCUCACCGCCCACAUCCGUGCUCUGGCCAGGGCCAGGAGCAGCUAUGUAGCCAGGCAGUACCGAUGCCUUCAGGCACGCCUCGUCUCAGAUUGUGGAAAUCCCUACAAGGCCGGGGACCCGGCCACAGAGCUGCUUCAGGAUGUGCGCCAGCUCCUCACUGACCUCCAGAACUACCUGGCAAAAGACCCCGACGUCAGAGCUGUCUUUGGGAACAGGGGACCUAGGGCUCCUCAGGACCAGGAUCUUGGCCCCGCUGUGGAGGUGGCCCUGUGUCGGGCGGUUCUGGAGCCCCUGAAGCCCGCCCUGUGGACCAAACUCCGAACUCUCAGAGCCCAGGAGCUGCGGAGGCUGCGCCGGCGCCAGAUAGCCCUGAGGGCCGGGGCGGGGCCCGAGGGACACGGCCCCGCCCCCGCCCUGCGGAGCCGGAUCCACGCGCGCCUGGCGCACUUGCACUCCGCGUGCGCCCCGCGCCGCAAGGUGGCGCUGCUGCUGGCGGUGUGCAGCGACGUCUACGCGGGCCUGGCUGGCGGCGAGAAGGAAGAGCCCCUGGGGGCGGACGCCUUUUUGCCCGCCCUGACGGAGGAGCUGAUCUGGAGUCCACACAUUGGGGAGACGCAGCUGGAUGUGGAGUUCCUUAUGGAGCUCUUAGAUCCGGAGUCGCUGCGAGGAGAAGCUGGGUACUACCUUACCACGUGGUUUGGGGCUCUCUACCACAUCGCUCACUACCAGCCAGAGGCUGGCCGCGCGCCCCAGGGGCUGAGCUCGGAGGCCCGGGACUCCCUGCGCCAGUGGCACCGAAGGAGGACACUGCACCAGCAGACCCAGGCCACAGCUCAGGCCCAUCUGCCCUUUGAGGAGCCAUGGGCAACAGGGGACCAGUGAUGAUUGGAACCGUCACUUCCGAACCUUUGGCCCACUCCUCUGCUUAAGCAAGAUGCUCGAGGCAUCUGGAGGACCCAGGUUCAACUCCCAGCACCUACAUGGCCGCUGACCACCUUCUGUCACUCCAGUUCCAGGGGAUACAACACCUUCUUCCAACCUCCAUGGGCGCCAGGCACACACAUAUAUACACGCAAGCAAAGCACUCAUAUAAACUAAUUAAAUGUGGUGCUGCCAAAAAAAUGCAAGGGCUGGAGAGGUGGUUUCGCAGUUAAGAGCGCUGUCUGCUCUCUCAGAGGUCCCAAGUUUAUUGCCAGCAAUCGCAUGGCAGUUCAUGACCAUUGGUAAUGGAAUCUGAUGCCCUCUUCUGGUGUGGAUGAAGACAGCACUCAUAUACAUAAAAUAAACCUUAAAACCAAA